UACAGAGGGUGCAAGCGUUGCUCGGAAUCAUUGGGCGUAAAGGGUAGGUAGGUGGUCUCGUUUGUCUGGGGUGAAAGCCCAGGGCUUAACCCUGGAAGUGCCCCAGAAACGGCGAGACUAGAGUAUUGGAGAGGGUCGUGGAAUUCCCGGUGUAGCGGUGAAAUGCGCAGAUAUCGGGAAGAACACCCGUGGCGAAGGCGGCUCUCUGGGACGGUACUGACGCUGAGACGCGAAAGCGUGGGGAGCGAACAGG
RNAcentral lists this ribosomal RNA (253 nucleotides) under uncultured bacterium. RNAcentral's name for it is "partial 16S ribosomal RNA". It matches the Rfam family "Bacterial small subunit ribosomal RNA", at positions 524 to 776 of the family's 1533-position model. The record is from RNAcentral.